GACGAACCGUGCGAACGUUAUUCGGAAUCACUGGGCUUAAAGCGCGUGUAGGCGGGCCGCCACGUCGGGCGCUGAAAUCCCCCGGCUCAACCGGGGAACGGGCACCGAUACGAGCGGCCUGGAGGGGAGUAGGGGGACCUGGAACUUCCGGUGGAGCGGUGAAAUGCGCAGAUAUCAGGAGGAACACCGGUGGCGAAGGCGGGUCUCUGGGCCGAUACUGACGCUGAGGAGCGAAAGCGUGGGGAGCGAACAGG
RNAcentral lists this ribosomal RNA (254 nucleotides) under uncultured bacterium. RNAcentral's name for it is "partial 16S ribosomal RNA". It matches the Rfam family "Bacterial small subunit ribosomal RNA", at positions 524 to 776 of the family's 1533-position model. The record is from RNAcentral.